This 874-nucleotide long non-coding RNA is filed under the name Ananas comosus (pineapple). RNAcentral describes it as "long non-coding RNA (ACOM_LNC023578)". The record is from RNAcentral. Lineage: Eukaryota; Viridiplantae; Streptophyta; Magnoliopsida; Poales; Bromeliaceae.
AAAAAGAUGUUGAAAUUUUUUAAAGUAUUAUUUAAAAUUAAAUAAAUAAAUAAAUAAAUAAAUUGUAUUUUUUUGUAAUUUUAAAUAACAUGAUUAAAUAAUAUUACCGUACGAACCAAAUACAAAAAUACUAUAUUCUUAGUAAUAAAAUAAAUAGAAAUAAGAUUAUCGAAUAUUUUUUUACUUAUAAUAAUUUUUUAUAGUGCGAACCAAACGCGCUUAUUCUAAUAUUAUAAACUCAAGCAUUUUGAUUUUGCAAUCAUAACAUAUAAAAAAAGUCAGAGACAAUAAUUUUUUCUUAAUAUCUCCCAAACAAUUCCUAGUCUUCUAAAGUGACACUACAACAGAAUUAGGUUAUAGAGACACAUGUUUGGAACACUUUUAAGUAAGUGUCUCAUUUAUGCUAAAACUUAAAAAAACAUCUACUUAUGCCUAAAUAUAAAGCCCAAUCCAACCAAAAAUAAAAGAUUACUCUACUCAACCCACCACAUGCACCCAGUCCAUUUGACCCGAUUACAAACAUAAAAGAAAAAAAAAAGAAAAAUCAAUUACCAUCUUUUCUUCUCUCUUCACUCAAUCUAUUGAAAUUCUAGACGAAGAGCCUUUCCUGUCGUCCUCCUCCGCCACCGCAACCAACUAGAUAGAAUUUCGGUGGUUGCUAAAUGCUUAAAUAAGUGUUGGUAAUUAGCAGUACUAUUUUAUGUUUUAGCGACACUCUUUAACUGUCACUAUAUACCUAGCGACUCCACAUAUAGCAAUAUUUUUUAAAAGUGUCGGUAAUUUUAGCUAGCAGUAUUUUUUGACAUGUACCUAUAUUUAAAAGUGUCGCUAUAGAUCGUUUUUGUACGCAUUCUUAAAGAAGGUUUCCUUAAAU